This 448-nucleotide long non-coding RNA is filed under the name Durio zibethinus. RNAcentral describes it as "long non-coding RNA (DZIB_LNC000787)". Lineage: Eukaryota; Viridiplantae; Streptophyta; Magnoliopsida; Malvales; Malvaceae. The record is from RNAcentral.
UUUGUUUUUAAUUACUAAUUAAUCAAACACUAAACAAAAAUAUAAAAAAAAAAUAUAGUAUGUUGAGCAUCUAUCUAUAAAUAAAAAAGUACUAAGAAAAAUGCAAAAAAAAUAAAAAAUAAAAUAAAAAGAUAAAUCCUUACAUUAAGAUGGCUUAAACAUAGUAAUAACAAUUGUAUCUGAAAAUAAAAUACUAGUACAUUAAUAAAUAUUGCCAAAGGUUCGUGGUUGCCCUAAUGUUAUAUAGAACAAUUAAACCAUCAUGAUGACUUAACCUUGAAAGAAGAUUAAUCCAAUCCCUCCAUUAUUAUUUCACAGCAGCUGCUUCCUUCCACCAUCAUCAUUAUUGCUAGAGAAAACUAGCAAUAAACUCCAUUGAAAUAGCAGAAGAAAGCUAAGCCAAAGCUGAGGGAGGGAAUUUGAUAUAUAAAUGGAAGAGAAAAUUUUC